CAGGCCUAACAAUGCAAGUCGAACGGCAGCACGGGUGCUUGCACCUGGUGGCGAGUGGCGACGGGUGAGUAAUAUAUCGGAACAUGUCCGGAAGUGGGGGAUAGCUCGGGAAAGCCGGAUUAAUACCGCAUAUGCCCUGAGGGGGAAAGGAGGGGAUCGCAAGGACCUUUCGCUUUCGGAGUGGCCGAUAUCGGAUUAGCUAGUUGGGAGGUAAAGGCUCACCAAGGCGACGAUCCGUAGCUGGUCUGAGAGGACGCCAGCCACACUGGAACUGAGACACGGUCCAGACUCCUACGGGAGGCAGCGUGGGGAAUUUUGGACAAUGGGGGCAACCCUGAUCCAGCCAUGCCGCGUAGUGAAGAAGGCCUUCGGGUUGUAAAGCUCUUUCAGACGGAAAGAAACGUCACGGUGAAUAUCCGUGACUAAUGACGGUACCGUCAGAAGAAGCACCGCUUAACUACGUGCCAGCAGCCGCGGUAAU
RNAcentral lists this ribosomal RNA (481 nucleotides) under uncultured bacterium. RNAcentral describes it as "bacterial SSU rRNA". It matches the Rfam family "Bacterial small subunit ribosomal RNA", at positions 43 to 524 of the family's 1533-position model. The record is from RNAcentral.